GAUGAAGAACGUAGCGAAAUGCGAUAAGUAGUGUGAAUUGCAGAAUUCAGUGAAUCAUCGAAUCUUUGAACGCACAUUGCGCCCUUUGGUAUUCCAAAGGGCAUGCCUGUUCGAGCGUCAUUUGUACCCUCAAGCUUUGCUUGGUGUUGGGCGUCUUGUCUCUAGCUUUGCUGGAGACUCGCCUUAAAGUAAUUGGCAGCCGGCCUACUGGUUUCGGAGCGCAGCACAAGUCGCACUCUCUAUCAGCAAAGGUCUAGCAUCCAUUAAGCCUUUUUUUUCAACUUUUGACCUCGGAUCAGGUAGUGAUACCCGCUGAACUUAAGCAUAUCAAUAAGCGGAGGA
RNAcentral lists this unclassified non-coding RNA (342 nucleotides) under soil metagenome. RNAcentral's name for it is "partial contains 5.8S ribosomal RNA, internal transcribed spacer 2, and large subunit ribosomal RNA". The stretch from base 1 to 120 matches the Rfam family "5.8S ribosomal RNA", at positions 35 to 154 of the family's 154-position model. The record is from RNAcentral.